This 487-nucleotide ribosomal RNA is filed under the name uncultured bacterium. RNAcentral describes it as "bacterial SSU rRNA". It matches the Rfam family "Bacterial small subunit ribosomal RNA", at positions 29 to 509 of the family's 1533-position model. The record is from RNAcentral.
AAUGAACGCUGGCGGCGCGCCUAAUACAUGCAAGUCGAGCGAGAAGACGUAGCAAUACGUUUGUAAAGCGGCGAACGGGUGAGGAAUACAUGGGUAACCUACCCUCGAGUGGGGAAUAACCAGCCGAAAGGUUAGCUAAUACCGCGUACGCUCCUUGGACUUCGGUUCAGGGAGGAAAGCGAUACCGUGGGUAUCGCGCUCUUGGUUGGGCUCCAUGUCCUAUCAGCUUGUUGGUGAGGAACGGCUCACCAAGGCUUCGACGGGUAGCUGGUCUGAGAGGACGAUCAGCCACACUGGCACUGCGACACGGGCCAGACUCCUACGGGAGGCAGCAGUAAGGAAUAUUGCGCAAUGGGCGAAAGCCUGACGCAGCGACGCCGCGUGGGGGAUGAAGGUCUUCGGAUUGUAAACCCCUUUCGGGAGGGAAGAUGGAACGAGCAAUCGUUCGGACGGUACCUCCAGAAGCAGCCACGGCUAACUUCGUGCC